GUACCCACACACAGUUCAGUUCCGAUCGCGGUCCAAGCCGGAUGAUUCGUGUUUUUUGCGUCGUGUACGUGCGUUCUAUGCGUCAGCCAUGGGUAUCGGCGAAUCAAAGCCAAAAUCUAACAUUUCGCAUUCGAAAGCGAACAACCGUAGCCGAACAACGAAUGGACAGCAUCAGCAGAAGAAACGUGAUGGGCCAGCGCGGCCAGCCGUACCGAACCCCCCGCAACACAACAAACCCAAUCGGAGUAAUCAUCUGGCUGCGCACACUGUAAACACCCAAAAAGCUGCACCUGUUGCCCAAAAAUCACACCGACCGACAGCACCAAACGUACUGCCGGAACGAAGCAGCAAAGGACGCCCCAACAAGAAGGCCGAGUGUAGUGUGUGCGGACACGAGGGACACACUGGUGAUCGCUGCUACCAUCGCCACCAAACUUGCCAAAUUUGCCUGCAACCCGGACAUUUGCGUUCUGUGUGCAAGCAAACGACGCAUCAUCCGGACAGUGUUUAUAGACCGAAGGGUGGUGGCAACAGGGCGCGCAACCCUCACUAACCUUAGGACUCCCGAACCCGGAAAGCCCAGUUCCUGUCGAAAAUCAGUGUACCCAAGUGCCUUAUUAUAUGCUGUGGAUAACCAAGGACCAUUGCCAGUAUGAAAGCCAGCAUCAAAUAGUAACUAUUUGGAUCGAUUAAGUUCGUGGAUAAGGGAUUCGCCCAGUAUAGAUAUUACGCUAGAGCUUCAUGUUUGAUCGAUCAUCUAUAGUUUUAGAUUUCAUUGCAUUUAAAAGCGAAUGUAACUCGUAAACGAUGUGAUCUUCGCACCGGAAUGAUAUUGAUCACGAUAUCGAUUGGUCGUUAUGAGUGAAUCUUUAUGUAAGUUUGUUUGUAACAAUUUGUGCCAAACGAAGAGGUAAAUGUUAAAUGAUUUGCAUACUUCAACUCGUCCUAUGAUUGUUGAGAAUGAAGGAUAUCCAGUGAGCUACCA
Anopheles stephensi (Asian malaria mosquito) is the source of this 985-nucleotide long non-coding RNA. RefSeq lists it as uncharacterized. The record is from RefSeq and is a predicted model, not a curated record. The transcript is spliced from 2 exons. NCBI's taxonomy places the organism in Eukaryota, Metazoa, Arthropoda, Insecta, Diptera, Culicidae.